Molecule: long non-coding RNA, 258 nt
Filed under: Lathyrus oleraceus (garden pea)
Lineage: Eukaryota; Viridiplantae; Streptophyta; Magnoliopsida; Fabales; Fabaceae
Description: Pisum sativum (pea) long non-coding RNA (PSAT_LNC030799)
Source: RNAcentral
UUAUUUUGUACAUAUCAAUUGAAGGAUAACGAUGAUAUCAAAUAUUAGUGGGAAAUGGUUAAACUUGAUUUAGAUGUGGAAUCUAUGUUGAUGGAUGUUGCAUAGGGUGGUAAUGAAAUUGUUUUGAUUGUUGUAGCAUGUUAAGUCAUUUAAGUAGUGUUAUGGUUUUAAUAUGUAGUUUGUGUCGUUUCGUUGUUGUGAUUUUAAGGUAUUAUUUGUUAUUUGCAAAUGAUUUAACAAAACGAAAAUUUAAUUUAA